AGCUCCAAUAGCGUAUAUUAAAGUUGUUGCAGUUAAAAAGCUCGUAGUUGGAUUUCAAGGGAUAGACGAGGCAACUCGUUGACACCUAUCAGUCCGAAAGGACUGUUACUGUGAGAAAAUUAGAGUGUUUCAAGCAGGCUAUUGCAGGAAUACAUUAGCAUGGAAUAACGAAUGUGUCUAGAAUCUUGGUUAAUUCUAGAUUACGAUUAAUAGGGACAGUUGGGGGCAUUAGUAUUUAAUUGUCAGAGGUGAAAUUCUUGGAUUAUUUAAAGACUAACGUAUGCGAAAGCAUUUGCCAAGGAUGUUUUCAUUA
This 313-nucleotide ribosomal RNA is filed under the name Lacrymaria sp. (in: ciliates). Its description in RNAcentral is "Lacrymaria sp. (in: Ciliophora) partial small subunit ribosomal RNA". It matches the Rfam family "Eukaryotic small subunit ribosomal RNA", at positions 587 to 975 of the family's 1831-position model. The record is from RNAcentral. Lineage: Eukaryota; Ciliophora; Litostomatea; Haptorida; Lacrymariidae.